RNAcentral lists this ribosomal RNA (489 nucleotides) under uncultured bacterium. Its description in RNAcentral is "partial 16S ribosomal RNA". It matches the Rfam family "Bacterial small subunit ribosomal RNA", at positions 28 to 507 of the family's 1533-position model. The record is from RNAcentral.
GACGAACGCUGGCGGCGUGCUUAACACAUGCAAGUCGAACGGAAAGGCCCCCACCUUGGUGGGGGUGCUCGAGUGGCGAACGGGUGAGUAACACGUGGGUGAUCUGCCCUGUACUUCGGGAUAAGCUUGGGAAACUGGGUCUAAUACCGGAUAGGACCAUGGUUUAGUGUCUCAUGGUGGAAAAAUUAUUGUUUUGGUGCAGGAUGAGCUCGCGGCCUAUCAGCUUGUUGGUGGGGUAAUGGCCUACCAAGGCGUCGACGGGUAGCCGGCCUGAGAGGGUGGACGGCCACAUUGGGACUGAGAUACGGCCCAGACUCCUACGGGAGGCAGCGGUGGGGAAUAUUGCACAAUGGGCGCAAGCCUGAUGCAGCGACGCCGCGUGGGGGAUGACGGCCUUCGGGUUGUAAACUCCUUUCGUUAGGGACGAAGCCACACCUUUUUUGGGUGUGGUGACGGUACCUUUGUUAAGAAGCACCGGCUAACUACGUG